Molecule: ribosomal RNA, 253 nt
Filed under: uncultured bacterium
Lineage: Bacteria
Description: partial 16S ribosomal RNA
Rfam family: Bacterial small subunit ribosomal RNA
Source: RNAcentral
UACGUAGGGUGCAGGCGUUAAUCGGAAUUACUGGGCGUAAAGCGUGCGCAGGCGGUCUUUUAAGUCAGUGGUGAAAGCCUCCAGCUCAACUGGAGAACUGCCAUUGAUACUGACGGGCUUGAGUACAGACGAGGUUGGCGGAAUUGAUUGUGUAGCGGUGAAAUGCAUAGAUACAAUCAAGAACUCCGAUUGCGUAGGCAGCUAACUAGGCUGUAACUGACGCUGAGGCACGAAAGCGUGGGGAGCGAACAGG